GCCCAGACCACCAGAGAGGAAAGAUGUAAGCUGCCCCGCUGGAAAAGGUGCAAGUCCCUCCUUGUCCAGACUUUCAUCCUGGAGGCUAUUGGCUGAUUCACACUCAGAUCUACAAAGUCGAUAUCCAAAUCUUCCUCCCCAGCCCAGAGAUACUGUGCCACAAGUGGACCUGAGCCCGGCAGGCUAGCGGUUCUGGGACCCAUGGGCAGCCUCAGUGAGGAGAGAAAGUGGGUUUCUGUUGCCCACGUUGUCAGCUCUGGACAAGAUGGAAUCAAGCGUCAUCCCAAACUCUGCCAAUCAGACUGUAUUCACAAGCAGGUCCUGUGGGCACUAUGCAACCUGUGCCCCUGUUCAGGAAGUGUCUAUUUGGUCCUUGGGCCCUGACAGCCAAUGAAUGAGGUCUCCUCUGCUGACUUCUCAUGACCAGAAUAGCAGCCCUCUCAUGGGCCAGGUUACAGAAUCUCACAGGCCUGGUCGGAGGCCCUCAAGGAGGAUCCCCAGGCUCAUAGGAAUCCAUUACACAGGAAGAUUAUCUCCUUCUUGCAUGGACUCUGCUUUCCCAUGUUCUGAUACCUCCUUCUCCCCACCCGAGUCUCAGUAUAUCGGCCAGCAGGCCUGGAACUCACAGUCCACCAGCCUCCGACUCCGAGUGCUGUGAUCACAGGCGUGGACCACACUCCAUCUCUCUUCUUUGGAGAUCAGCCCAUGUUCUCUGCCUUCCACUACCUCAGCUCCAGGGACCAUGCUUGAAUCCCAGUGCCCACUGAAAUCAAACACCCCACCACUAAGCUGUCUUAGUAUUCCUAUCUUGCCCCUCUCCUUCACUAAAGACUGGACGUGGCUCACCCUGUUGAGGGCUAGGGCGGUCUGGGGCUUUUCCUGAAGCCAUGAUGCAUGGAGAAGGAAUUUAGCUCCAUGUCUACGUCCAGGAAUAUGCUUGGUAAGGCCUGUAAUGGCCUGGGGUCUGGGGGAGCUGUAGCUCUGGACUCUGAGCACCCAACGCAUCCCACCCUAAGGUCCUAUGGUUACCAGUCCCAAGGCUGCUGUGUGUUUGGUCUCUAUACCCUUGAGGGAUCCUGUGUUUUCUUUGUGCAGCACUGUUUGAUUGGCUUCUUGCUGACUGUGUCCCAUUGAAUAAUAGCUUUUGCUGACACUGUCCCAUUUCUUCCAGGAAAACUGUAAGAUGCUGCAUUUCUUAAUAAAUGUGCUUGCAUGGGCCAUCAACUUAUGCAAGACCUCCUGACCCAGAACUUGCUGGUCUUCUCCGUCUUCCCCUGGCCCUCCCCCCGCUCUCGGGAACCCGUCACUGAGGAAUGACUACUACUGGUCCAGAUCACAGCUCUUUCCUCUCUUCCUCUUCCUCCAGAUCCAUGUGGACCCGUGUGGGUCAUGUACCCCCCCACACCAGAUCUAGAAACAUGUCUCUUCAUACAAUCAUUUCUUUUGCUAUCUUAUCAUACCUGACUCUGCCUGGCUAUAUUUUUAGCACAUUCCCUGAAGCAGAGUCCUUCAGAUAGGAGCCCAUUUUAGAAGGGAAGGGAGAAGACGGAAUGGGCUGAUACAUCCAGACACCAUGCCUAUUGGCAUGCUGUCCAAGGGAUCUCCAAUAGGCAGCCCGCUGCUUCAGGGCUGGAGGAAAAGAGGAAGUCAGUUAUUCUAAAGGUUAAAGUACAGUUAGGAGAAUGGUGUAUUGAAGAGCAUCCCCCAAAGGGCUGUGCAUAUGUCCUGACCUCCAGAGCCCAUGACUGUUGUCUUUAGAAAAGGGGUAAUCAAGAGAUGAGGUUCAGAGAGAUGAAUCAGUGGGUAUUGGCACCUGCCACCAAACCUGAUGACCUGAGUCCCAUCUCCAGGACCGACACAGAGAACUGACUUAUGCUGUUUAUCCUGUGAUGUCCACACAUGCAUGCACACAUGUGUAAUAAAAAUGUCUUUAAAAUAGUGACAGGACCAUUCUGUCAUUCAGAUAGGUCCUAACCACGUGGCAAGGGAAGCAGAGAAAAGGACAAAUAGAAGAAAUGGAGGCUGAGGUGGGAAGACCCAGUGAAGUGUGCACUUGCCACAGCAGCCACAGGAAACCGCAGAAGAGGAGACCUGAAGGAAGAGAUAGCCAGGCGCGCAGCCUUUCCAUCGUGCCCCCCCACCCCCAUAGACACUUUUCUGUAACUCCAGGCUGAGAUGCAGCUUCUCCUCAAUUGCUAACUCCAGGUUUGCCACCUGCUGCUGUAACAAAAUGCCCCAAGCUGUCCUUUACUAGAGAAAAGGUUUGUUCAGUUUCUGGUUCUGGGCCAAGGGUCUCCUGGUUGCUUCUCAGCAUGGAGGAGGAGCAGGAGAGAAGCAUAUAUUGUAGCUUCAUUUUAUGUCAAAUCUCUCAGCACACCUGCUGUCCCAGCACCUGGAUAGCCAACCCAAAAGGAGCAAGAGCUUGCGAGCAGCCUGUGCUAUGAUGUACCUCAACCCUCUGACCAAAACAACGCAGGAAAUGACAGUUACAGUCGCCCCGAUAUUCUGAGGACUAACUCUGUGAGGUCAUCUGUGAUGGAUGGUUAGCUCGUUCUCUCAACUUGACACAAACAAGCAUCACCUGGACAGUCUCUAUGAGGGAUGAUUAGUUCAAGCUGGUCUGUAGGAAUGUCUGUGGAGGGAUGUUUUAAUUAUAUUAGCUGCUGUGAGAAAAUCCAGUGUCCUGUGUCCCGUGGAAGAGUCCAGGUGUCCCAUGGGGGAGCCCAGGCGUCCUGUGUCCCGUGGGGGAGCCCAGGAGUCCUGUGUCACAGAAGGCCCAACUUCCAGGAGAGUCUCGGCAUCAGGGAGCAAGCAUCUGUGCAUUCCAGAAGGGCUGGACACUUAAAAGUUCUCACUCCACUUCUUCCCCUGCACUCCCCUGCCAUCCUGAGGCCUUCCCACGACAGUGAGAAGCAGUUACUAAGUGGUCCCAUGAGCACCUGCCACACUACAGCUCCACUGAGAAAGUCACACAUCACACAGACAUGGUUAAUGACAGGCUGUAUUUGGCGCCAAGGUUUUCAAAGGCACUGCAUUAAAUGUGUUCUUCUCUGUACUAAUGGUUUAUUCUUCAGAGCUUUUUCUGCAAGGCUUCCUAUAUUGUCUUUUUUGCAACAAAGAAGUCCGAAAGUCCUAUCAUGCCAUUCUUCCUAGAGUCUCUGGAAAACAGACGGAGAUGCCAUUAGAAAUGCCAUUUAACAGGGUACCAUGUAGCUGGCAAGGUUAUCUCAAGCGCUGGGCACUUGAGAUGCCUCACCACAGCCUCCUGCCAACUAGCAACAGUUCUGAGCAGAACAGCUCUAUUUACUUGUACAAGAGUGGAUGUCUUUUUCUAGGUAAAACAUCAGUGCUGGGAGCCACUCUUAUGUCAGCAAGUGGGCAAAGGUUGCUCAGAACACACUGCGGUUCUCAUGACAGGCAGUGACCACUGUGACCUUCCCAUGCCUCCCACAGUAACUCUUCGGUGUCCACCCCAGCUCAACUCUCUUGCACAUGGGCCAGAGGGAGCCAGGGCUGCUGAGCCCACAUGACUUGCUGUCCUCCACAGCUAAGAUGGAUCACGGCCAGCAACACUGUCCACAGAGGUAUGGCUAUCAAGGGGUACCAGAUGCUGUCAGAACCAAGCAGACAGCAAACCUAUGGAUAGAAGAUUGUGGGAGAGAGAAAUUCUCCCUAGUUGGCAGACAUGGGAGCUCCUUUUGUAAAGAAGCCGCCUAAUUAACAAGUUGAGGAGGGAGGUGGGGAGGCGGGGAGGCGGGGUAGCCCAGGCAGCCUGACCUCGGCAUGGGUGCUCACCACAUGCUAUGUAGUGGUGCAUUCUUAGCACACAAAGAAUGCCAACUGGGAUAUCCCAAUCAGCUAUGCCUGGCUUAGCCCUGGGCACACAGUCAUUUGGGCAGCCAGGUCCAUCAUUAGACUUCCCUGAACCAGUACGGUUGGGAUUUUCCAGGGUGGGUGCCAAUGAGGACCUAGUGAGAAAGCUGAGCUCUGCCAGUUGGCUUCCCUGCCAGGCCGCCCCUCCUCUACACACCCAGGGAUAGCCCAACAUAGCAGGAAAGAACCCACGAGCUUCCCACAUAGAGCCACAACCCUCCAGACCAAGACGACAGUGCUCCCACAUCCACAGAGCACAGGAGUGGAGCCGUCCCAGGUGCACGCACCUAGGGCCACAUCCCACAGAGAGAAGACAGCAGCCCAAGGCAGCCUUGAGUGGAAAGUUCAAAGCACCCGACUUCCUUCACUAAGGAAGGUGCCAACAGUCUGAAGAUACAGUGUACGGGUGUCGGUUGCCAGCCCCUCAGAUCAACAACUGCAUGAGUGACAGCAGUAACAGUCGGAGGGUGACUUGGCAUCCGCUGGUGGAUAUUAACCUCAUGCGUGGGUUCAUGUGUGGGUGAGGUGAAUUCCAUCAAUGUCAGUUUUCAGUGAGCUGUCGUCUAAGACUGUCUGACGGCACAGGCUGGACCUGAGCUUCUCCUGCGACAGGACACACUUCAUCUAACGUCUAGGAAGAUGGAAUCUUCUGGAUUCCUGCCUGGCACUGAGAGAACAGGCUGAGGGGCUGCGGCUCUGCCCAUGAUCUCUGAGAGGUCGCUCCCCUUCAACACUGUUGGAAUCAAGGGGAGCAUCUUUGCCUUCCUUCCACCAGGGGCGCAUUCUUAGUAAAGAGGUGGACUCUCCAACUCAGCCCACCUGAACCCACAAAGAACUGUACUUACGACUUCUCUCUUAAAGUGGCAAGAUAGGUCUCCGUCUCCGAGGCCGGGAGUUCUGGGUCCAGAGAGGUCAAGUACUGGUAGAUGUAGG
This is a non-coding RNA of Myodes glareolus (Bank vole), 4806 nucleotides long. NCBI's taxonomy places the organism in Eukaryota, Metazoa, Chordata, Mammalia, Rodentia, Cricetidae. The record is from RefSeq and is a predicted model, not a curated record.